UUCGCAAUGCCCGAAAGGGUGACGAUGCGACGCCGCGUGAGCGAAGAAGGCCCUAGGGUUGUAAAGCUCUGUCGAGGGUUAUGAAAUAUAGAUGGGUUAAUACCCCAUUUAUUUGACAAAAGCCCAAAAGGAAGCCACGGCUAACUCUGUGCCAGCAGCCGCGGUAAUACAGAGGUGGCGAGCGUUGUUCGGUAUUAUUGGGCGUAAAGAGCACGUAGGUGGUUUUAUAAGUCAGGUGUGAAAGCCUUCUGUUCAAAGGAAGAACGGCAUCUGAAACUGUAGAUCUUGAGUAUAGGAGGGGAGAGUGGAACUUCUGGUGGAGCGGUGAAAUGCGUAGAUAUCAGAAGGAACGUCGGCGGCGAAAGCGACUCUCUGGCCUAUUACUGACACUGAGGUGCGAAAGUUAGGGGAGCAAACGGGAUUAGAUACCCCGGUAGUCCUAACCGUAAACGAUGGGCACUAAGUAGAGGGGUUUU
RNAcentral lists this ribosomal RNA (476 nucleotides) under uncultured anaerobic ammonium-oxidizing bacterium. RNAcentral describes it as "bacterial SSU rRNA". It matches the Rfam family "Bacterial small subunit ribosomal RNA", at positions 365 to 832 of the family's 1533-position model. The record is from RNAcentral.